UGAGCGUUCCCGGGGAUAACUGUUCCCCUGGCAUGGUUUAGUACCCGCCUCGGUGUUGGGGCUUCAAGCCCAUCUGGAAAUGGGAGGCUCCUCCCUAGCUUGCAUCUGCGGCCAUAUGACUGAGGGCAGGCAAAACUUGGGGGCAUCUUAACACCAAGUCUCUGGACUCGGGCCUGCAUGUAGGAUGCCCGCCAAAAGACUUUGGCAAUAUCUGAAGCCCCUGGCGGGGGUGGAGGAUGUUUGCCAGUUGUAGGCCACUUAUGGUUUGGACUGACUCAUGAAUUUAGACUCGAUUCGGCUGGUUUGGCUUGGAACAUGAAACAUUUCUUUAAAAAAACCCCAAACUAAACAAAACAAAAACUGUUUUUAGAGGUGUUGGGUGUUGGCUGCAACUGAGGCCGGGGAUGGUGACAGGACUGUGCUAAUGCUCCUGCUGGGAUGACAGCCGCAGGCUCCUGGCUAGAGGGUCUUGUCCCUCUGCUCAGGGUCCCCGUGGGGAUGGUGGGACCUGCCGGGCGGGCACCAGUUCUCCGGCCCUGUAGGGUCCAGGGAGCUGCCCUCUAACUCGCUGCUCUCUGUGUGCGCAGAGCGUUCGUCGGAGGCUGAGGCAGAUACUGGGAAGACCCAAGCUGGGAGCAGCUUGGGGACACGUGGAGGAGACACCACCACCCCAGUGCACACACUGCCCCAUGCCUGGGCACAGGCUCAACCUCGAGCGCACACUGCAGCUGGUGGAGAGGAGGCUCAUGCACGUGACCUGGCACCUGAUGAGAGAUCUGAACUCGCCCAGACCUGCACGUCCUGCACCAUCCUGGAUCUCCGAGGAGCCCGAGGAAAUGGAGGACCCUGACGCUGCCUUCAUGCAA
Long non-coding RNA from Alligator sinensis (Chinese alligator), 866 nucleotides. RefSeq lists it as uncharacterized. Lineage: Eukaryota; Metazoa; Chordata; Crocodylia; Alligatoridae. The transcript is spliced from 4 exons. The record is from RefSeq and is a predicted model, not a curated record.